UACGCACGUGCCGUGUCUUCCACUUCUCACUCUCUCUAUUUUCUCUUCCCCUAUUCAAGCGAAUGGGUGUAGUGUGGCUUUAGAACGACGGCCAACCCACCAAACCACAGCACGCGACGUGCCACAAAGGACUCCGAAAGUGGCGGCUUUUCGUGCACGCUUUUUGGAGGCCGCAAAAGUUUUUCGCGGACGACAUUGUGUGAAUGGCAAACAAGUUGUUUUGUUGCGAAAAUGACGCUGUCUUUUGUGAGAGCCCCUGCUGCUGUCGCCUUAAGUAAGCUUAGAAGCGGUAUCAUGGCUGAAGUCAGCGCUAUUUGAUUUUUUAUUUCGGAAUUGCCUUUCUGGGUAGCCGAGGAGCAUUUCUUGGACCCCACGGUGAAAUUUUAGCAUGUCAUCCUUUUUUAGAAGGGAGAAAAAAAAAGCAUGCUUUUUUAUCCUUAUUAUAGUGGCCAAGCCAACUCUUUACGAGUUCUGCUUGCAUGUCAGAGAACGCGCUUGAGGGGUAUCUCAUCACUGUGCUCACCACGAAAGCGUGGAAAACGAACUCGAGGUGCAGCCACGUUACUCCUCCUUCGCUUUCGGCUCCGCCCCCUGUAAAGCAUGCGUGGAGGGAAAGUCUCUCGUUUCGUGGCUCAUUUCCGCGAUCAUGGUCUCUCGAGGUAACGGCUUCCAUUACCAAUUGGCACGUCGCGCGUACUCUGGAUUAACGUGCGCGGGUGUUGUCAAGUCCUCCUGCUUGCCGGAGGGAACACGACGCCGUGCUAUAUCGUUUUUUUUUUGUCGUUUUUUUCUUUUUUCAUUUUAACUUUUAUUUGAUGCUACCUUCACCCCCCCCCCCCCCCCCCGUUAAUUAAGAAAUGAAACACUUUAUUUCUAGAUAGGAGCCAAAUGCCUUCCAUUUCAUCUAACUCUUGCUCAAACCAAACCUAACCAAUCAGGCACUACAUGACUAGCUGCAGGACUAAAGCCUAUCGUACGUAUUCCUUUUUGUCUUAUCUCAAAGUGCUCGCUUAUCUAAGCCUGAAGACGUCAUAAGGCUGGUUGACCCUUUCUGACAUGAUAACGUCUUUGUAAACACAGGGAAGGAUUUUCACGAAGUGCAAAAGAGAGGCACUGGCUGUGUCGCUCUAUUUUUUUUUGCCCCCCUUAGGGUCCAUGCUGAAAUUUUCGCGACUUGCGUGACGCUGCACGCACUUUUCGUGAAGCACAGCGCAUAUCUCAUCUCAAAAGCCUUCCUUCUUACACAGGGCCUCGUUUGCCUUCUGCGGGGCUCCUCUCGCUGCCCGCACGUAACGACGUGAUGACCAAGUUAUUCGGGACAUGGAGCGGUCGUUUGCGCAAAGGCAAAGCGAAACCCGAACAAACAUCCUUCCACCUCGGAGGUGUUCAGCUCGCUCAUGGUUCCCGAUCCCGCGGUGAAGGAGACGUUGGGAGGGGGAGGCGUCGCCGCCAUUUCGCCGUCCAGGACAGAUAUCCACGUCACGGUGAUGUUCAACGCAAUAUUCGCCCCGGCAGACGCCAGAGAUGUGGUGGCCAAGCUGAGUCUCCUAGCUGGCAAGACCAGCGAGUCGGCUGUGGGCGCCAGCUCUGAAAUAACGCUCCACAAUAUUCACGUUUCUUUCAAGCUGUGCUGACGGCGGAGAGGUCUGACUCCGGAUUCGCAGUGCUCAACGUUAACCAGGAUGGGUCAAUAUCUUACCAGGUAAGUUUUUUUUUUAUUCCAUGCGUUUUUUUUUUCUUAUAGAUGGACCAUGUGCGUAAAUUCAGAUGAGCUAGAGGAACACUAAACAGGAACGGUAAAUCAAUUCAGGCUAAGAAGCUAUUUUAUCAAAAUGCUAUUUUCAUUUAUUCUUGCGCGUAGGGCAGCAGACAAGAAUACCUUUUCAUUUGACUGCAAGUAUAUUUGUUUGGGUAUUUUAUUUUCUCUUUA
Molecule: non-coding RNA, 1930 nt
Organism: Dermacentor andersoni
Lineage: Eukaryota; Metazoa; Arthropoda; Arachnida; Ixodida; Ixodidae
Source: RefSeq, a predicted model, not a curated record